Non-coding RNA from Triticum aestivum (bread wheat), 115 nucleotides. The record is from Rfam. NCBI's taxonomy places the organism in Eukaryota, Viridiplantae, Streptophyta, Magnoliopsida, Poales, Poaceae.
AACUUACUCCCUCUGUUCCGAAUUACUCGUCGCAGAAAUGAAUGUAUCUAGAUGUAUUUUAGUUCUAGAUACAUCCAUUUCUGCGACGAGUAAUUUGGAACGGAGGGAGUACUUC